Molecule: small RNA, 431 nt
Filed under: Pan troglodytes (chimpanzee)
Lineage: Eukaryota; Metazoa; Chordata; Mammalia; Primates; Hominidae
Description: retained intron
Source: RNAcentral
UUAUAACUUAUGGACGAUCUAUUGCUUUUCAUAGUGCAGUAAGUUUGGACCCAAUUAAAUCCUUUGAAGCUCCUGCAACCAUCAAUUCUGCAUCUCUUCAUCCUGAGAAAGAAUUUCUUGUUGCAGGUGGUGAAGAUUUUAAACUUUAUAAGUAUGAUUAUAAUAGUGGAGAAGAAUUAGGUGAGUUGUCCCCUUAUAGUGAUGUGGUUACCUUUAUCAUAUGUUAAGUCCCAGUAAUAAACACCUCAUUUUUAUAUAUAUAUAUAUGUUACAUAUAUAUGUUGAAAGUAAAUUUUUCAGCUAACUUAAGCUUGGUGCUUACAAGUGAAAAAGGAGUUUUAACCAUUUGGGUCAGAUGCUUUUAUAGAUCUGUAAACAAAGUAUGCAGAAAUUUAUCCUUUUAACUAAAGUUCAUCAUUAUGCUGAUGUUA